RNAcentral lists this transfer RNA (73 nucleotides) under Chloroflexota bacterium. RNAcentral's name for it is "Chloroflexi bacterium tRNA-Glu". It matches the Rfam family "tRNA". From Rfam's summary of the family: Transfer RNA (tRNA) molecules are approximately 80 nucleotides in length. Their secondary structure includes four short double-helical elements and three loops (D, anti-codon, and T loops). RNAcentral also lists the same sequence under 1 other name. The record is from RNAcentral. Lineage: Bacteria; Bacillati; Chloroflexota.
GGCCCCUUCGUCUAGCGGCCCAGGAUGCCACCCUUUCAAGGUGGAGACACGGGUUCGAGUCCCGUAGGGGCUA